RNAcentral lists this ribosomal RNA (820 nucleotides) under Caulobacter sp. RNAcentral's name for it is "bacterial SSU rRNA". It matches the Rfam family "Bacterial small subunit ribosomal RNA", at positions 9 to 873 of the family's 1533-position model. Lineage: Bacteria; Pseudomonadati; Pseudomonadota; Alphaproteobacteria; Caulobacterales; Caulobacteraceae. The record is from RNAcentral.
GGAGAGUUUGAUCAUGGCUCAGAGCGAACGCUGGCGGCAGGCCUAACACAUGCAAGUCGAACGAACUCUUCGGAGUGAGUGGCGGACGGGUGAGUAACACGUGGGAACGUACCCUUUGGUUCGGAACAACACAGGGAAACUUGUGCUAAUACCGGAUGUGCCCUUCGGGGGAAAGAUUUAUCGCCAUUGGAGCGGCCCGCGUUGGAUUAGCUAGUUGGUGGGGUAAAGGCCCACCAAGGCUCCGAUCCAUAGCUGGUCUGAGAGGAUGAUCAGCCACACUGGGACUGAGACACGGCCCAGACUCCUACGGGAGGCAGCAGUGGGGAAUCUUGCGCAAUUGGCGAAAGCCUGACGCAGCCAUGCCGCGUGAAUGAUGAAGGUCUUAGGAUUGUAAAAUUCUUUCAGCAGGGACGAUAAUGACGGUACCUGCAGAAGAAGCCCCGGCUAACUUCGUGCCAGCAGCCGCGGUAAUACGAAGGGGGCUAGCGUUGCUCGGAUUUACUGGGCGUAAAGGGCGCGUAGGCGGAUGACCAAGUUGGGGGUGAAAUCCCGGGGCUCAACCUCGGAACUGCCUCCAAAACUGGUGAUCUUGAGUAUGAGAGAGGUGUGUGGAACUCCGAGUGUAGAGGUGAAAUUCGUAGAUAUUCGGAAGAACACCAGUGGCGAAGGCGACACACUGGCUCAUUACUGACGCUGAGGCGCGAAAGCGUGGGGAGCAAACAGGAUUAGAUACCCUGGAAUCACUAGUGCGCCGCCUGCAGGUCGACCAUAUGGGAGACCUCCAACGCGUUGGAUGCAUAGCUUGAGUAUUCUAUAGUGU